AACGAACGCUGGCGGCAUGCCUAACACAUGCAAGUCGAACGAGACCUUCGGGUCUAGUGGCGCACGGGUGCGUAACGCGUGGGAACCUGCCCUUAGGUUCGGAAUAACUCCCCGAAAGGGGUGCUAAUACCGGUUAAUGUCUUCGGACCAAAGAUUUAUCGCCUUUGGAUGGGCCCGCGUUGGAUUAGCUAGUUGGUAGGGUAAAAGCCUAGCAAGGCGACGAUCCAUAGCUGGUCUGAGAGGAUGAUCAGCCACACUGGGACUGAGACACGGCCCAGACUCCUACGGGAGGCAGCAGUGGGGAAUAUUGGACAAUGGGCGAAAGCCUGAUACAGCAAUGCCGCGUGAGUGAUGAAGGCCUUAGGGUUGUAAAGCUCUUUUACCCGGGAUGAUAAUGACAGUACCGGGAGAAUAAGCUCCGGCUAACUCCGUG
RNAcentral lists this ribosomal RNA (433 nucleotides) under uncultured bacterium. Its description in RNAcentral is "partial 16S ribosomal RNA". It matches the Rfam family "Bacterial small subunit ribosomal RNA", at positions 29 to 507 of the family's 1533-position model. The record is from RNAcentral.